CAAUAGCGUAUAUUAAAGUUGUUGCAGUUAAAAAGCUCGUAGUUGAAACUUGGGCCUGGCUGGCGGGUCCGCCUCACCGCGUGCACUCGUCCGGCCGGGCCUUCCUUCUGAAGAACCUCAUGCCCUUCACUGGGCGUGCUGGGGAAUCAGGACUUUUACUUUGAAAAAAUUAGAGUGUUCAAAGCAGGCCUUUGCUCGAAUACGUUAGCAUGGAAUAACACGAUAGGACUCUGGCUUAUCUUGUUGGUCUGUGAGACCAGAGUAAUGAUUAAGAGGGACAGUCGGGGACAUUCGUAUUUCAUUGUCAGAGGUGAAAUUCUUGGAUUUAUGAAAGACGAACUUCUGCGAAAGCAUUUGUCAAGGAUGUUUUCAUUA
Molecule: ribosomal RNA, 375 nt
Filed under: uncultured eukaryote
Lineage: Eukaryota
Description: partial 18S ribosomal RNA
Rfam family: Eukaryotic small subunit ribosomal RNA
Source: RNAcentral